GCCACGGUGGUCUAGCGGUUAGAACGCUUGCCUUGUAAUCCUGGGGUCUCGGGUUCGAUUCCCGGCGGUGCCC
Molecule: non-coding RNA, 73 nt
Organism: Zootermopsis nevadensis
Lineage: Eukaryota; Metazoa; Arthropoda; Insecta; Blattodea; Termopsidae
Source: Rfam